CGGUCUCCUAUCCGCUACGGGCGCGGAAUCUUGCGCAGGCCCUUCCCUAGUACGAGAGGACCGGGAAGGACGAACCUCUAUUUUACCGGUUGUGGUACCAACUGCAUUGCCGGGUAGCUAUGUUCGGUUUGGAUAAACGCUGAAAGCAUAUAAGCGUGAAGCCGUCUGCAAGAUCAGGAUUCGUAUUCUAAGACUCCUCAGAGAUGAUGAGGUUGAUAGGCUGUAGGUCUAAGUGCAGUAAUGCAUUGAGCCAAGCAGUACUAAUAAGUCGAGUAACCAC
RNAcentral lists this ribosomal RNA (280 nucleotides) under Candidatus Komeilibacteria bacterium. RNAcentral's name for it is "partial 23S ribosomal RNA". It matches the Rfam family "Bacterial large subunit ribosomal RNA", at positions 2632 to 2925 of the family's 2925-position model. Lineage: Bacteria; Candidatus Komeiliibacteriota. The record is from RNAcentral.